Molecule: long non-coding RNA, 229 nt
Filed under: Daucus carota (carrot)
Lineage: Eukaryota; Viridiplantae; Streptophyta; Magnoliopsida; Apiales; Apiaceae
Description: long non-coding RNA (DCAR_LNC005519)
Source: RNAcentral
GGUUGAUCAAGAUGAACCCUGAUCAUUGAUAAAUCCAGAAAGACACCAUUCUUUCCAGUGACCAAUCAGAAGCAAACACUAACUCUUGGUAUGUGUUUGGAGGAAAAUGCCUCUUUGCAAAUCCUGCAUUUGAAGAUCAAAGAAUAUUUUCCUCGGCUACUCUAUGGAGUCUACAAUCUACAGGGUGAUUGUGAUUGAUCAAUAGAAGGUGAUUGUAAGUCUAGACGGG